GACGAACGCUGGCGGCGUGCUUAACACAUGCAAGUCGAACGAUGAAGCCUAGCUUGCUAGGUGGAUUAGUGGCGAACGGGUGAGUAAUACGUGAGUAACCUACCUUUAACUCUGGGAUAAGCCUGGGAAACUGGGUCUAAUACCGGAUACGACCAAUCUCCGCCUGGGGUGUUGGUGGAAAGCGUUAUGUAGUGGUUAUAGAUGGGCUCACGGCCUAUCAGCUUGUUGGUGAGGUAACGGCUCACCAAGGCGACGACGGGUAGCCGGCCUGGGAGGGUGACCGGCCACACUGGGACUGAGACACGGCCCAGACUCCUACGGGAGGCAGCAGUGGGGAAUAUUGCACAAUGGGCGCAAGCCUGAUGCAGCGACGCCGCGUGAGGGAUGACGGCCUUCGGGUUGUAAACCUCUGUUAGCAGGGAAGAAGAGAAAUUGACGGUACCUGCAGAGAAAGCGCCGGCUAACUACGUG
This 471-nucleotide ribosomal RNA is filed under the name uncultured bacterium. Its description in RNAcentral is "partial 16S ribosomal RNA". It matches the Rfam family "Bacterial small subunit ribosomal RNA", at positions 28 to 507 of the family's 1533-position model. The record is from RNAcentral.